UUAAGCAUAUCAAUAAGCGGAGGAAAAGAAACCAACAGGGAUUGCCCUAGUAACGGCGAGUGAAGCGGCAACAGCUCAAAUUUGAAAUCUGGCGUCUUCGGCGUCCGAGUUGUAAUUUGCAGAGGGCGCUUUGGCAUUGGCAGCGGUCCAAGUUCCUUGGAACAGGACGUCACAGAGGGUGAGAAUCCCGUACGUGGUCGCUAGCCUUUACCGUGUAAAGCCCCUUCGACGAGUCGAGUUGUUUGGGAAUGCAGCUCUAAAUGGGAGGUAAAUUUCUUCUAAAGCUAAAUACUGGCCAGAGACCGAUAGCGCACAAGUAGAGUGAUCGAAAGAUGAAAAGCACUUUGGAAAGAGAGUUAAAAAGCACGUGAAAUUGUUGAAAGGGAAGCGCUUGCAGCCAGACUUGCCUGUAGUUGCUCAUCCGGGUUUCUACCCGGUGCACUCUUCUAUAGGCAGGCCAGCAUCAGUUUGGGCGGUUGGAUAAAGGUCUCUGUCAUGUACCUCCUUUCGGGGAGAACUUAUAGGGGAGACGACAUGCAACCAGCCCGGACUGAGGUCCGCGCAUCUGCUAGGAUGCUGGCGUAAUGGCUGUAAGCGGCCCGUCUUGAAACACGGACCAAGGAGUCUAACAUCUAUGCGAGUGUUUGGGUGUCAAGCCCGAACGCGUAAUGAAAGUGAACGGAGGUGGGAACCUUUCGGGGUGCACCAUCGACCGAUCCUGAUGUCUUCGGAUGGAUUUGAGUAAGAGCAUAGCUGUUGGGACCCGAAAGAUGGUGAACUAUGCUUGAAUAGGGUGAAGCCAGAGGAAACUCUGGUGGAGGCUCGCAGCGGUUCUGACGUGCAAAUCGAUCGUCAAAUUUGGGCAUAGGGCGAAAGACUAAUCGAACUAUCUAGUAGCUGGUUUCCUGCCGAAGUCCCCCUUCAGGAAA
Molecule: ribosomal RNA, 929 nt
Filed under: Ectophoma multirostrata
Lineage: Eukaryota; Fungi; Ascomycota; Dothideomycetes; Pleosporales; Didymellaceae
Description: LSU rRNA
Rfam family: Eukaryotic large subunit ribosomal RNA
Source: RNAcentral